UCCCAGCCCAGUCAGGAAUACAAACGUCGUGAUGAUCCCAGCUGGCUGGAGGGUCAGGAGGCUGAGGCUGGAUAGCCAGAGGAUGCAGCACUCUGCAGGGAGCAGCGGCUGCUCAGAGGAGCCUCUUUGCCUGGACUGCAUUUGCUACAUGGCUGCAUCCUUUUCUGAGCCCCCACUGACUCUGGGAGGGAAGAAACGAGCCCUUUGCAACUUAUAUACCUAUAGUUGGUGUGGAGCAGCAGAGGCACACCUGAAACCAGAAGAAUAAAGAUCCCACUCCAGUAUUUGAGCCUCAA
Neopsephotus bourkii (Bourke's parrot) is the source of this 296-nucleotide long non-coding RNA. RefSeq lists it as uncharacterized. Lineage: Eukaryota; Metazoa; Chordata; Aves; Psittaciformes; Psittacidae. The transcript has 2 exons. The record is from RefSeq and is a predicted model, not a curated record.